RNAcentral lists this ribosomal RNA (385 nucleotides) under uncultured bacterium. Its description in RNAcentral is "bacterial SSU rRNA". It matches the Rfam family "Bacterial small subunit ribosomal RNA", at positions 969 to 1375 of the family's 1533-position model. The record is from RNAcentral.
CCUUACCUACUCUUGACAUCCAGAGAAUUCGCUAGAGAUAGCUUAGUGCCUUCGGGAACUCUGAGACAGGUGCUGCAUGGCUGUCGUCAGCUCGUGUUGUGAAAUGUUGGGUUAAGUCCCGUGACGAGCGCAACCCCUAUCCUUAUUUGCCAGCGAGUAAUGUCGGGAACUUUAAGGAGACUGCCGGUGAUAAACCGGAGGAAGGUGGGGACGACGUCAAGUCAUCAUGGCCCUUACGGGAUGGGCUACACACGUGCUACAAUGGCAGUGACAAUGGGUUAAUCCCAAAAAACUGUCUCAGUCCGGAUUGUUCUCUGCAACUCGAGAGCAUGAAGUCGGAAUCGCUAGUAAUCGCGUAACAGCAUGACGCGGUGAAUACGUUCCC